AUUGAACGCUGGCGGCAUGCCUUACACAUGCAAGUCGAACGGCAGCAUAGGAGCUUGCUCCUGAUGGCGAGUGGCGAACGGGUGAGUAAUAUAUCGGAACGUGCCCUAGAGUGGGGGAUAACUAGUCGAAAGACUAGCUAAUACCGCAUACGAUCUACGGAUGUAAGUGGGGGAUCGCAAGACCUCAUGCUCCUGGAGCGGCCGAUAUCUGAUUAGCUAGUUGGUGGGGUAAAAGCUCACCAAGGCGACGAUCAGUAGCCGGUCUGAGAGGACGACCAGCCACACUGGGACUGGGCCACGGCCCAGACUCCUACGGGAGGCAGCAGUGGGGAAUUUUGGACAAUGGGGGCAACCCUGAUCCAGCAAUGCCGCGUGAGUGAAGAAGGCCUUCGGGCUGUAAAGCUCUUUUGUCAGGGAAGAAACGGUUCUGGAUAAUACCUGGGACUAAUGACGGUACCUGAAGAAUAAGCACCGGCUAACUACGUGCCAGCCGCCGCGGUAA
This 502-nucleotide ribosomal RNA is filed under the name uncultured bacterium. RNAcentral describes it as "partial 16S ribosomal RNA". It matches the Rfam family "Bacterial small subunit ribosomal RNA", at positions 30 to 523 of the family's 1533-position model. The record is from RNAcentral.